AACACCGGCCAUGUCCCGCACGAUCACAGAAGUUAAGCAACGUCAAGCCUGGUCAGUACCUAUAUCGGUGACUGCUUGGGAAUAUCAGGUGUUGUAA
Acanthosepion pharaonis is the source of this 97-nucleotide non-coding RNA. NCBI's taxonomy places the organism in Eukaryota, Metazoa, Mollusca, Cephalopoda, Sepiida, Sepiidae. The record is from the annotation of a GenBank genome assembly.